Molecule: long non-coding RNA, 1033 nt
Organism: Gallus gallus (chicken)
Lineage: Eukaryota; Metazoa; Chordata; Aves; Galliformes; Phasianidae
Source: Ensembl
GCUUGUUUAGAUUGGAGAAGAGAAGGCUCCAGGGAGACUUCAUUGUGGCCUUUCAGUACUUGAAGGGAGCGUACAAACAGGAGCGGGAAAGGCUGUUUAUGAGGGUGGAUGGUGAUAGGACAAGGGGGAAUGGUUUUAAACUGAGACAGGGGAGGUUUAGGUUGGAUAUGAGGAGGAAGUUUUUCACCCAGAGGGUGGUGACGCACUGAACAGGUUGCCCAAGGAGGCUGUGGAUGCCCCAUCCCUGCAGGCAUUCAAGGCCAGGCUGGAUGUGGCUCUGGGCAGCCUGGGCUGCUGGUUGGCGACCCUGCACAUAGCAGGGGGUUGGAACUGGAUGAGCACUGUGGUCCUUUUCAACUCAGGCCAUUCUAUGGUUCUAUGAAAAGAAGCAUGAGGUGUGACUCACCCGAGCAACCCAACUAACACUGCCUGCAGUCACAGAUGACAGCAAAAGCCACACAUCCCCUCUCCACCUGCCCCAGAAGCAGGCUGUGAGCUACAGAGGGAAUGAGACACAAGAUCAUCCUUAGCAAGCAGAAUAAAAGCACCUUUAUCUGUCAGUGGGUGCACUCACUGCUGCAUAGUGGGGAUCUCUCGCUGCUGGGGGAGCAGAACCGGGGCAGACAUUGCUCCAGCUCCAAGCAGGGCAAGCCACAGCCCCAAGGCUUCCUCCUGCCAGCACUGAGCAGCUGCCUGUAAGAGAGCAGUCAGCAGCGGGAGCCCAGCUAAGAGCAGCAAGGUGAGACGAGCACCAGGCCAGGAUUUCCCCUGCAACACUCUGAAAUCCUCCUGCUCAAGGAAACAAACCUAAUUAGCCAGUGCUAAAACAAAUCCGAGGUGGGCUGGGAAGGCAAACCAUGCUGCUCAGCUACAUACAAGCCAGCAAGCAGUGCCCUCCGGAAAGCGGAUAUUAACAAAUACAACAAAGAAAGAUCAUACAAAUUGCAACUACGCACUAAAGGAAUGAUUACAGAUUUAAAAAAAAUACAUUUAAAUUAUCGUCCCCAUUUUUGUUCUUUAACUUUUACAUCCC